UACGUAGGGGGCAAGCGUUGUCCGGAAUAACUGGGCGUAAAGGGCGCGUAGGCGGCUUUUUAAGUCUGGAGUGAAAGUCCCGCUUUUAAGGUGGGAAUUGCUUUGGAAACUGGAGAGCUUGAGUGCAGAAGAGGUAAGUGGAAUUCCCAGUGUAGCGGUGAAAUGCGUAGAGAUUGGGAGGAACACCAGUGGCGAAGGCGACUUACUGGGCUGUAACUGACGCUGAGGCGCGAAAGCGUGGGUAGCAAACAGG
This 253-nucleotide ribosomal RNA is filed under the name Eubacteriales bacterium. RNAcentral's name for it is "partial 16S ribosomal RNA". It matches the Rfam family "Bacterial small subunit ribosomal RNA", at positions 524 to 776 of the family's 1533-position model. Lineage: Bacteria; Bacillati; Bacillota; Clostridia; Eubacteriales. RNAcentral also lists the same sequence under 1 other name. The record is from RNAcentral.